This 253-nucleotide ribosomal RNA is filed under the name uncultured bacterium. RNAcentral's name for it is "partial 16S ribosomal RNA". It matches the Rfam family "Bacterial small subunit ribosomal RNA", at positions 524 to 776 of the family's 1533-position model. The record is from RNAcentral.
UACAGAGGGUGCAAGCGUUGUUCGGAAUUAUUGGGCGUAAAGGGCAGGUAGGUGGUUCUUUAAGUCGACUGUGAAAUCCCCGAGCUCAACUUGGGAAGUGCGGUCGAAACUGAAGAACUAGAGUGCUAGAGGGGUUCGUGGAAUUCUCGGUGUAGCGGUGAAAUGCGUAGAUAUCGAGAGGAACAUCAGAGGCGAAGGCGACGAACUGGAAAGCAACUGACACUCAACUGCGAAAGCGUGGGGAGCAAACAGG